Molecule: ribosomal RNA, 253 nt
Filed under: uncultured bacterium
Lineage: Bacteria
Description: partial 16S ribosomal RNA
Rfam family: Bacterial small subunit ribosomal RNA
Source: RNAcentral
GACGUAGGGCGCAAGCGUUGUCCGGAUUUAUUGGGCGUAAAGAGCUCGUAGGCGGCUUGCCACGUCUGCCGUGAAAACCAGCAGCUUAACUGUUGGCUUGCGGUUGAUACUGGAUGGCUUGAGUUCGGGAGAGGGAUGCGGAAUUCCAGGUGUAGCGGUGAAAUGCGUAGAUAUCUGGAGGAACACCGGUGGCGAAGGCGGCAUCCUGGACCGACACUGACGCUGAGGAGCGAAAGCCAGGGGAGCAAACGGG